Molecule: ribosomal RNA, 437 nt
Filed under: uncultured bacterium
Lineage: Bacteria
Description: bacterial SSU rRNA
Rfam family: Bacterial small subunit ribosomal RNA
Source: RNAcentral
GCAAGUCGAACGAUGAACCAGGGCUUGCCCUGGGAGUUAGUGGCGAACGGGUGAGUAACACGUGGGCAACCUGCCCCAGACACCGGGAUAACCUCUCGAAAGAGUGGCUAAUACCGGAUAUGACCACUUCGGGCAUCCGACGGUGGUGGAAAGGAUUCUGGUCUGGGAUGGGCCCGCGGCCUAUCAGCUAGUUGGUGGGGUAAUGGCCUACCAAGGCGACGACGGGUAGCCGGCCUGGGAGGGCGACCGGCCACACUGGGACUGAGACACGGCCCAGACUCCUACGGGAGGCAGCAGUGGGGAAUAUUGCGCAAUGGGCGAAAGCCUGACGCAGCGACGCCGCGUGAGGGACGAAGGUCUUCGGAUUGUAAACCUCUUUCAGCAGGGACGAAGCGAAAGUGACUGUACCUGCAGAAGGAGCACCGGCUAACUACGUG